RNAcentral lists this ribosomal RNA (495 nucleotides) under uncultured bacterium. Its description in RNAcentral is "partial 16S ribosomal RNA". It matches the Rfam family "Bacterial small subunit ribosomal RNA", at positions 28 to 507 of the family's 1533-position model. The record is from RNAcentral.
GACGAACGCUGGCGGCGUGCCUAAUACAUGCAAGUAGAACGCUGAAGGAGGAGCUUGCUUCUCCGGAUGAGUUGCGAACGGGUGAGUAACGCGUAGGUAACCUGCCUGGUAGCGGGGGAUAACUAUUGGAAACGAUAGCUAAUACCGCAUAAGAGUAGAUGUUGCAUGACAUUUGCUUAAAAGGUGCAAUUGCAUCACUACCAGAUGGACCUGCGUUGUAUUAGCUAGUUGGUGGGGUAACGGCUUACCAAGGCGACGAUACAUAGCCGACCUGAGAGGGUGAUCGGCCACACUGGGACUGAGACACGGCCCAGACUCCUACGGGAGGCAGCAGUAGGGAAUCUUCGGCAAUGGACGGAAGUCUGACCGAGCAACGCCGCGUGAGUGAAGAAGGUUUUCGGAUCGUAAAGCUCUGUUGUAAGAGAAGAACGAGUGUGAGAGUGGAAAGUUCACACUGUGACGGUAUCUGACCAGAAAGGGACGGCUAACUACGUG